This 381-nucleotide unclassified non-coding RNA is filed under the name uncultured Actinomycetes bacterium. RNAcentral describes it as "uncultured actinobacterium contains 16S-23S intergenic spacer region". Lineage: Bacteria; Bacillati; Actinomycetota; Actinomycetes. The record is from RNAcentral.
UCCGAUUUGUCACCGGCAGUCUCCUAUGAGUCCCCGUCUUUCACGCUGGCAACAUAGGACAGAGGUUGCGCUCGUUGCGGGACUUAACCCAACAUCUCACGACACGAGCUGACGACAGCCAUGCAGCACCGUCUCACUCGCUCCCCAGAAGGGCACCCCGCCAUCUCUGGCAGGUUCGAGUGGAUUUAACCCAGGUAAGGUUCUUCGCGUCGCAUCGAAUUAAGCCGCAUGCUCCGCCGCUUGUGCGGGGCCCCGUCAAUUCCUUUGAGUUUUAGCCUUGCGGCCGUACUCCCCAGGCGGGGUGCUUAAUGCGUUAGCUUCGGCACGGACGGGGUCGAUAUCCGCCCACACCUAGCACCCAACGUUUACGGCUAGGACUAC